GCGCUCAGAUGCCCCAGCUCAGCCGAGAGGCCGCUCGCGCCGGGUCCUUCCUCUUCCCCAAGUGCAGGCAGAGCCCCCGGAGCCAUGGCCAGUCCUUCCGGCAGCUCCGAAGCCACUGGCAAGACCCGAGGCAGGGAUGGCCGGCCCAGGAGGGAGGAGGACGACGUCCCUCCCGAGGAGAAGAGGCUGCGGCUGUUGCUGGAGGGAGGGGGGAAGGGCACAGCCCGAGGACUGCGAGGACGGAGAGGACGCGCCGCGGCCGGGCAGGGAGGAGACCGGCACCCAGACAGGUGGCGACGGCAGAGGAGUAAGUGACGCGGGCGCAGGGGUCCGGGGGUGCCGGGGGCGCGGGGGUGCUGGGGACGCGGGGUAGGGGCGGCGGGAGGCUCCGUGGCCGGCCCCGGGUUGAAGUUGGUAACUGAGCGGCAACUCCGGCGGGCGCGGAGUGACAGCUCGUGACGGCCUCCGAGAUGUCAGCUGUCCCUUCUCGGCUGUGUGGCUUCGACUUCCUGAUUCUCCCACGACGUCCCUGGCCGGGAGACCAGCUGGACUCUGCGGCUAGCCAAAAGGGGAGGGGGAGCCCCGCGUCCUGGGGGCCCCCAGCAGGGGAAGGGGCGGGGGUUGCUCUGGGCAUCCUGUCUGGGUCAUCUGUCUGGGACUCUGUCGGUGCCUCUCACCUGGCGAGGGGCUUGUGGUGGGGGUAGGGGGAAAGUCCCUGGCGCCAGGCUUGGCCAAGCCCUGCUCUGCUGGGCUGCGGGCUGGCGGCGCUCACCCAGCUCCUCACCUGCCCCGCAUCUUCCUGUUUUUCUUCCCUUUCUUGUUGAGCAGCGAGAGUUGAGAGGAGGCAGAUGGCUUCCAUCCCAAAAAUCGCUCUCCUCUUUCCAUCCCUACAGAGAGGGACAGAGAGGCAAAGUUCCUUGCAUCCCCCGGGGCGCUGUCCCUGUGAGCUCCCGGUGUCUUGCACACGUGGGCCCCUGAGUCACCGGGCCUGUGUGUGUGCGAUGGGGCUCUGUGGUCAGCCUGUCCUCCUGGGGUUCACUUUCUGCUUUCCUACCCCAACUCUUCCUGUGUGGCUUUGCUGGCCUUCCAGUGGGAGGCACGUGGGUUUGGAGGGCAGAUGAGGGCCCACUGGAGAGCUGUACCCCUCAGUGAGGGCCGCCACCUUGAUGGUUUUUGAUGGAUAAUGGGAUUGACCUCUUUGUUCCUUCCACAUGUUUUUAUGUUUGACCAUUUGCUCAGCUGAGCUCGUCUUAAUAAUUUGAUUCGUGGUUAAUGAGCCCCACAUGGGAGAGAGGGCGGCCUUCAUUCUGAACCCAUUGAAGCAGCACGGGCAGCCCUCUUCGCCAUGGGCUGCAUCAGAGCCCCCGCUGCCCAGUCUUGGGGUUGCCCCUGGAUGCUCUCUGGGAGGCUUGCUCAUGGUGACAUCCUCAUCUCCCCGUGCACUUUACUGCAUUCAGAGCUUGGGUCACCUGGACACUGAACUCAGGUGAAUUUUCUCUGAGAUCCCGGGAGAAGGAGGACAGUUCUCUGGAAGGUUUUCCAGGGCCGAUCACGGAAAGGAUGAGAAGGGAGAGGUCCUGGUCGGGGACACAAUUACGGUGGCAGUGUAACGCUGGAAAACUUUAUUGCCUGAAGUCCCUCUCACUCUCUCUACCUCCCUCUUUUACGUGGACACUGCCAAAGACCAGGAUACCAGAAUGCAGUGGAGUGACCAAGUGUAGUGGGACCUUGGGAACGCGAGUCUGGAACCAGGCGGCUGGGGUUUGCAUCCCGGUUCUGCCCCUCCUUAGCUGGCUGACAUGGCACAAGCCACUUACCCUCUCUGAGCCUUACUGUCUUCAGUGGCAGAUGGAUCGGUCAACAGGCCCCAUUGCCUGGGUUUGUUACUGAUGAGAUUAAGGGAAGCUCGUCCAUAGAAGCACUUAGCAUUGUGCCUGGCACAUAGUGUAUGGUGGAUAAAUGGGACUUAGGACUGAAACUCAUGCCUUGGUUUGUUUUUGCAGUGAAGUUUUGUUCUGGGGUGCAUCACAAGAGACAAGGUUCUUGGCUGGGUGUGGUGGCUCAAGCCAAUAAUCCCAGAACUUUGAGAGCCCAGGAGUUUAAGACCAGCCUGGGCAACGUGGUGAAGCCUCAUAUCUACCAAAAAAAAAAAAAAAAAAAAAAAAAGCCAGGUAUGGUGGUGUGUGCCUGUAAUCCCAAGUACUUGGGAGGCUGAGGUGGGAGGAUUGCUAGAGCCUGGAAGGUCCAGCUGCAGUGAGCUGUGAUCAUGCCACUGCACUCCAGCCUAAGUGGCAAAGUGAGACCCUGUUUCAAGGAAAAGAGAGAGAGAGAGAGACAGACCCACAAGUGUCUUAAGCCAGAAUCUCCAUGUUAAAAUGCUUUCUGGAGGCUGAAAGAAUGACAUAUUGAUAAUGAAAUAUUUAAAAGGCAGAAACCCCACUGAAUUUCUUGGUCCACAGAGGGAAAUGGGAAUCGCAUGACCUGAAGGAUGAUGCAGGAACUGAACAGAAACCAUCCUUGUUUCCUGAAUCUGAAUAUGGCACCCUCUUUUCACGGUGUCUGUAUCUGCUCGUCCAGCAGCCGCUCGAAAAGAGGGAAUCUUGAUUUUCAAAUUUAAAAUUUGGCCCAAAGCCCACUGCUGCCCACAAUGCCCGCCAGACACAUUCCUCUUCCCUUUUAGUUUCUAUGGGAAUACUCUCUUUGAAGAACCCAUGAAGCAGUGUCAGGCUGGUGUGAGGAUCAGCAGCCGUUUCUUUGAGGAGGAGAGCCUGUUUCUUCACUCACAGGCCAUGUCUGAGUGGAUCAAGAAGAACAGAGUGCCCUUUUAUGAGAUUUUUCUGCGUAGACCAUUAACUUGGUAAAAAUGUCGAAACCAUCCUCGUUCUUUAAUAGAUUAUUUUGGACUUUUCUUUGCAAGAAGCAGCAUGGGCAUUCAGAUGCUUUUAAGGAUAAAAUGUUCUUUCUCAUCCCCAGGCCUGGUGCUCUGGAUGGCUGAGGUUUUAAUGUGACUGGAUGUCCCUUGGAGUGGCUCCCAGGCUGUGAUCUUGUGGUUGGGUGGCAAGGGGUUGCUUUAUUCGCUGGUGGCUAGAGGAUGUUUUAACAGGUAAAUCAGGCCCCCAGGAGCCCCUGAGUGCCAAGUCCUGCUGCAGGGCAUGUGUUUAUGGUGGGGAGGUGGGGGGGGGUGGAG
Molecule: long non-coding RNA, 3187 nt
Filed under: Homo sapiens (human)
Lineage: Eukaryota; Metazoa; Chordata; Mammalia; Primates; Hominidae
Description: non-protein coding lnc-ZNF717-3:5
Source: RNAcentral